UACGGAGGGUGCAAGCGUUGUCCGGAAUCACUGGACGUAAAGGGCGCGUAGGCGGCUCGGUAAGUAGGGGGUGAAAUCCUGCGGCUUAACCGCAGGGCUGCCUUCUAAACUGUCGAGCUCGAGCACGGUAGAGGCAGAUGGAAUUCCCGGUGUAGCGGUGGAAUGCGUAGAGAUCGGGAAGAACAUCAGUGGCGAAGGCGGUCUGCUGGGCCGUUGCUGACGCUGAGGCGCGACAGCGUGGGGAGCAAACAGG
This 253-nucleotide ribosomal RNA is filed under the name uncultured bacterium. RNAcentral describes it as "partial 16S ribosomal RNA". It matches the Rfam family "Bacterial small subunit ribosomal RNA", at positions 524 to 776 of the family's 1533-position model. The record is from RNAcentral.